GCGUUGAUAGCUCAAACUAUAGAGCAUAGCACUGAAGAUGCUAAGGUAGCAUUUAUUGUUUCAAGGCA
RNAcentral lists this transfer RNA (68 nucleotides) under Oxymeris dimidiata (dimidiate auger shell). RNAcentral describes it as "tRNA-Phe". It matches the Rfam family "tRNA". From Rfam's summary of the family: Transfer RNA (tRNA) molecules are approximately 80 nucleotides in length. The record is from RNAcentral. Lineage: Eukaryota; Metazoa; Mollusca; Gastropoda; Neogastropoda; Terebridae.